This is a non-coding RNA of Trichonephila clavipes, 81 nucleotides long. The record is from the annotation of a GenBank genome assembly. Lineage: Eukaryota; Metazoa; Arthropoda; Arachnida; Araneae; Nephilidae.
GUCAGGAUGGCUGAACGGUCUAAGGCGCUGCGUUUAUGUCGCAGUCCAUUCUGGGCGUGGUUUCGAAUCCCACGUUUUACA